Non-coding RNA from Odocoileus virginianus texanus, 1646 nucleotides. The record is from RefSeq and is a predicted model, not a curated record. Lineage: Eukaryota; Metazoa; Chordata; Mammalia; Artiodactyla; Cervidae.
UGGCAUGUGGAUGCAUUUUGGUUCAUCAGCCUGGAAGCUCUCUGAGCUCUCUCCUUUGGGGAUUUUAUGAAGGGUUCAUUACAUAGGCGUGUUUGAUAAAAUUAUUACCCACCACAGGUGAGUGAUUCAACUUCUAGCCUCUUUCCCCUCCUCAAGUAUCUGGGGAGUGGGUCUGAAAUUUCCAAUUCUCUAAUGACAGGUCUAGUUCUGGUAAACAGCCUCCAUCCUUAGGUGACUUUCAAAAGUCACUUUAUUAACAAAACAAAAGUCACCUUUGCAUUCUUAUCACCUAGGAAAUGCUACUUCUUUACAGAUUUGAAGGAUCAAAAGAAAAAAUAAAAGAGGGCCAUUAACCACUGGGGAGGUGAGGCCAACAAGGCUCUUCCCUUCUUGACACUCUUGACUUCUGUGGGAGCUUUGAGUCUCCUCAGUACCACCCCCAGCCUACAUGGUAUCUCUGUAUAUUAGAAAAAGGUGGUUGCUCGCAUCAGGCAGAGUCCUCAGGACAAAGGAACUGACGAGUGGGGCAGGAACUGGACUUCAGCCCAUUUUCCACCUCAGAAAACUGCCUGAUUUUCUUGUCUGUGGAGCCUUCUGUUUCUAUCCCACGUUUUUCUUCUAAAUAGGCACACCAUGCCUUCCCACCCCAUCCCCCCUCCCCCGAAAAAAAGAAAACAGAAAACCAUAGUCCUUGGUUUUCUCUACUUUUCCUUCUGUCCGUAGGUUAGUAGAAGUCUGUCUCUGUGUGGAUGACUCAAAUUUAUGCCUUUUGUCCUAGUCUCCAUUCUCAACUCAGUGCCUUAUCUAAACGACCUGGUUCCUUUCAAGUGAGUUCACAGAAAACACAUCAUAUUCCCUAAUAUGAUCCUCAGGCCUUUCCAAUUCUGUCAGUGGAGACGUCAUCCUACCUGCUGUCCAAUCUGCAUGCCUGGAAGUUACUCACGACCACCGACCCCUGUCCUCACACAGCCCACCUGCUCCUCUUUUUCAGGGAAGCCCAGGGCACAAGACACAGGCCAGAGGCUGACCUAUGCCGCUCCUUCUCCUAAGCACAAACCCUAGUCUGGGGACCCUCUUCAUGGGAAAAAACCCCAAAUAGAUGAAUAUACUGCAGCAGGUGCGGGAGAAAACAACUGCAAGCCAGACGGAAUUUCUGGUGAGAGUAGCAGAGAGCGGGCCACCAUCUUCGACUAAGCCACGCCCACUCAGUGUGCUAAGAUUUCUCCGCCACAUUGUCACCAUCUCUUCUUGAGGUAUCAAGCCAUAGGAGGAAUGCAUAUGGAACAUUGACUGAGAAAAAGUCACAUCCCCACUAGCUGCGAUGGCUACAUCAGCAAGCCACAAUCAGAUUACCUCCAUACUCCCCCAGGGAAGGUUGACAUCUCCUGGCCCUUUCCAAAAAUGGCACUGUUCCACCCAAUAGUCAAAAAUCUGUGUCAGGAAGAUGGCUGAGAACCUGAAGAUAGAGUCUGCCUGCUGAUCCAAGAACAACAGACAACUGGCUCAGGCUAUGAUUAAAGCCGGUUGGAACUCACAGCCGGCAGAACAAUGACCACAUUCAUGAACUGAACUUCUGCUUACUCUCCUAUUCCAAAGUCCUUCAUCUUCCCUCCACAUGGACAGCCAGCUGUGCGGAGAGAUUUGUG